CAGCUGCUGAGAGUCUGGUACAUCCGAAACAAUUUAUUGGCACGGACCACAGAAAACCACGCUAACACAGUGUACGAAGUACCAUGCAGAGAGGACAACAUUUUACACCACGUAAACCAACACAUUUGCCCGCAUUUUCCAGCAAGUGAAGUGUAAGCGAGAAAUUUGUGAAUAAAAUUAUAAUAAUAAAAAAAACAUUUCAUUUUAUGUCCUUUUUAAUUGAUGACAACUUUCCACUAUGCAUAGCCAAUAACGCACCCAUACCUA
This is a long non-coding RNA of Anopheles funestus (African malaria mosquito), 267 nucleotides long. RefSeq lists it as uncharacterized. The record is from RefSeq and is a predicted model, not a curated record. NCBI's taxonomy places the organism in Eukaryota, Metazoa, Arthropoda, Insecta, Diptera, Culicidae. The transcript is spliced from 3 exons.